This is a small nuclear RNA of Grammomys surdaster, 107 nucleotides long. The record is from RefSeq and is a predicted model, not a curated record. Lineage: Eukaryota; Metazoa; Chordata; Mammalia; Rodentia; Muridae.
GUGCUUUUUUUGGCUGUACAUAUAUUAAAAUUGGAAUAGUACAGAGAAGAUUAGCAUGGCCCCUGCAUAAGGAUGACAGGAAAAUGAGUUGGGCAUGAUCCUUUGUA